UGGAGCACCCACAGAUCCUGGUUUAUCUCUGGUCGUUCGAAGAUCGCGGUACAAAACAACAAGGAUGUUGAAUUGGGAGUUUACAACACGUCGAAGACGUUAUGCGCUGUUUGUCCGUAAGACAUAGGAUCGGCAUUUAAGCCCUGACGCGUUGAUUCUGAGACACGUGUAAUCUCAGCCUUAGGAAAGUUUCACCGAUCUCGUUACCGUUGUAUAGUAACUAGGAAGGGAAGUGGUGAUGACGAGACACGCUCAGGCGCUGAAGACAGCGCUGGAGGCCGUGCUCCGCAGAGAUUUGGCUUUCACAUGAAGAGUAUACGGACGUGCACAUCCGGACGAUCCCGCUUCUGAUUGGUUGACGGUACUCUGGCUUCCACCGCAGUGCCACGCUAUUGAGAGAGUACUGCGUCCCGUUCUCUCCACCGACCUCGCCGUCUUGUUGGACAGUGUCCGCAUGCAACCGCUUUACUUUUGUCAAACUUCCGAACCGGGACCAUUCACCCAAUAGCAACAAAAGAUGCAACGUUACUUUCUCGUGCCUCAUUGUUAUGGUCCACAUUGAACUUUGUCACUCCUGAGAGUAUGCUUAGUGCGAUUUGCUCUGGGAAAGUUCGUAAUCACUUGGGGACAGUUGUCACCAUGUUCGUAAUCUUUUUCUUCUAUGACGAUCCAGUAUUGAGCGGCAGUUCGUUUUAUAAAGCUCUGUAGGUGGAUGCUGUCGCGUGCUAGGAGAACACCUUACGCGCGAAUUCACACGUUAAACAUAUCCGUCCAUUGCAGCAGCAGUUCUUGUGAUAUCACUGCCAUGUUACCUGUCCAAGUAAUAGUGUGUUUGAUGCAUUAUCACGCCAGCGCCGGGCAGCUAUGCGGCGGUGCUGAUCAACGCUUCGUUCACACUGCUUCGUUGCCUUGACAUUGCGUGCGUGACGAAGCAGUAAGUAUAAGAAUGAGGCAAGUGUGCAAAGCCGUUAUCGUACAGUGCACAUUCACUUUGUGUCGCUGGGCAUGCCGGUAUUAGAUAAUAACAGCGCUAGAUAAUCAAGCGCAAUCAAAUACAACAGACGAGAAGAAAGAGACAGGACUGAGUGCUCCGUCUUUAGUUUGUGCAGCGCAAAAAAAGAAAGAAAAAGACGAAAAGGAACGUUCACAAAACGACGUGGACAGCGCCUGUCCACGUCGUUUUGUGUUCUUUCUUGUCCUAUUUUCUGUGUUUUUUGAAAGCGCAGCUAUGAGGUGUCCGUUCCUGUGUCGGCGUCCUACCUCGUAACCGAGCGAAUGAGCACAGCGAAAGAUGAGAACGAGCGCGGAGCGCAGCGGGGGAUGAAAAAAGGGGCGAGAGCCAAGAUAGCGCGAGGAGGAGAGCGCAGCGGAACCUUCAGGCGGAAAGCGGAGGAGGAGGGUAUUGCGAAAGCGUGAGAGGAAAAGCAUAGUGCUGCGCACGAGGGGCUUUGCGGCGACAAUGGCUACGAGAUGGCGCCAGAGUAUCGCGCGUCGUCUGUAUGGAAACAAAGCGCUGCAUGAGCGUAGGGUGUCUGCGGCGACUGCUCUGAAUCGCGCCCACGAGUCACCCACGCGCUUCCUUUCGCGAUAUCCCUAUUAGCGAGGCCGUCGCGCCACACUUCGCUCCGUUUGCAACGUGCCGCACGAGACAGACUGUCCGCGCCAUCCAAUAUAUCGCGAAAUGCAAACACGUAUACAGGUGAAUUCAAAUUUGCAUUAGGGAGUGUCGUAAUUGUCGGUGAAUUUUUUUUUGCGCUACACAAACUUAGUACUCCCGCGAAAUGUACUAACUCGCCCGUGAGCGAAUUGUUUCGGUGCUCCGUCUUCUCUAUUUCUUCUCUUUAGUUAUAUUUUAGGAGGUCGAAAUUUGUCUUCGCCUAUUAAAACGGCCGUACUAGCGCAACUGCCUCUAAUAAACAGGUAGAACUCGUGGUGAGCGCCUUACCUGUGCGCCAAGUGUGGUUCAGCAUGUGCUUCUAGUUGCGCGAGAAAAGAGCGUGCGCCACUUGCUUCAUUAAAGGUGAUUCAGGCCUCAGCUUUGCGCUGUAUACUUUGUUGAUGCCUUAUAAACAUUUAGUUUGUCAUUUCAGCGUGUGUGCAAGUUGCUGUAAACAUUGAAUUGAGGUUUUUCUUUGACAUUGCUGUUCGGGUGCAAUGCUUGUAUUUGUUAAUCCCAUCUUGUGUUUGUCGUUGUACUACAUAUUGUUAGGUGCGAUUAUAUUUCAUAACGGCCUAGCUGCGCUUAAGUGGGAAUGACUACGAAAGCAACAGAAAAGACUAGCGUGUAUCGUUUUUUUUUCCCCAUGCGGCAAAGUUGACCGAUAUGGAUCAACUAGGACCUUUCGUUGCUCUGUUCAGUGAGAAUGGGCAUUUUAAUAAUCCAGGCGAGACAGAGGGUCACAGACAAAUUUGGGCUUAAAGUGAUCAACCGUGCUCAAGCAAAGUAUGCUGCUUCAAUCAACGUUUCCACGAGAGACUUGUCAGGAAAAAGCCCACUUGUCUAAAUGUUGACUCCAUCGGCAUCUCUUGUUUGGCCCUCCUUCACCAGCUUCAUUUUAUUCGCGCAUUCACGUCCAUUCUAAGUAUGUCAGUCCGCCGUAACCUUCACGAAAGAUUAAAACCUUGGCGAAGGCACAGACUACAACCGCCGCGCGGAAUGGCGCUUUAAGGAAUGCGCGUGACAAUCGCACUUGCCUAUCAAAUAAGCCGAAGCUCUCGGCAGUACCACGUAUCCGUGUGUGCCGCCAUUGUCAGCAAUUUGGAUCGUACUGCGCAUUGCUACUACUGGUCGUCCAAAGCCCAAUAGAGAGAUCAUGCACUAUUGCCCAAAUCUUGAGCGCACUAUCGCACCGAAAUAAAUACGGUGGAUAGCGGCCCAGAAAGCGAUUUCAUGACGUCACUCGUCACGUGCACAGUGGCAUUGAAACUUUCGAAAAAAUCUGUACUCAAUGUGUGGCGCCAAGUGAGCACCAUUUCGCUUUCUGUCUUUACUGUGACAUGCUUGCGGAGUAAGCGUCAUGCGCGACAAGCGGUGGCCGACAACUUAUUGCCAAAUCGAGCAGUCUUCCUCUGGGCAAGUAGGUGUGGAGAAAUUGGUGGCCUUCGUUUUCUCCUCCGCUUGGCGUGCUGUGCACUUGUGGGAGUAGUGCGAACUCUUCUCCAAUGGGUGGGGGCGGCUGUUAAGAGUUAGCACCACGGAGGAAAGAAACUGGAAGGGAACACGACGCUACGCAGCGAGCCUUCGAAAGUCAUGAAGUCGUCCUUUUUGCUGUUUAAAGCGAAUGGUUUUAUUUGACUCGGUUACCCGUUUUCGUGGUUGGACUUUGCGCCGACGCAUGCGCGUUCGCUGCCUAAUCUUGCCGCUCUUUGAGACGCUGUAGCUGUCCACCGGUGCUGCUACCGAUGUAGAUAUGCUGAUUAACGGCUCCGUUUUCCGGGGAAUAUUGAAAUGAAGCAAGAAAACGCAGCUUUCGUAUUUAUUGCAGUGAGAAUACACUGCAAUAAAUAUAGGCCGUUAAGUGGGUCAUUCCUUUGAUAAUGCGCGUCGCUUUCUUUAACGUGUUCAGCUAUUGUUUACAUUAACAAUCACCAUCGGUACAUUAACAAUCAUCGUCGGUAGUUUCUGCGCUAACUUUCUCUCGGCCGUGCCUCUAAAUGUCGGCCCAACACGAAAGCCUGCGUUCGGCCGACUGGGCCUAGUAAUUUUUGAUCCCGGUAGGUUUCAGUCAGUGCACACUUGUUCGAGUUCAUUGGCAACCGCUCCGUGUACAUUUUCUCCCGAUAUGCUUGUGCCCCCUUGGCCGUUCGUGGGAACCAAUAUAACGCAUGCAUUUGUCGUCUUCGUUGAAAUGUGCGAGCGUGGCAGCCGCAUUUCGCUGCCGGAUCUCGCUUUUGUCGGAAGAGCGAGCACUGGGAACGGCUGUGGAAGACACUAAACCCCACCGCCACAUGAUCACGUGCUGGAGCGAAUUUCUUUGGCUUCAAUUUUACCGCGUGGCGUACCCGCCUCGUUCAUCUGAUUCCUCCGUAUUAGCACGCAGUGCACGCGAGACCGCGUUAUCAGAACAAUGAGCGUGGUUUCAUUUUCGAGCCGUCCAACUUAGCCUUUGUCAUCUGUGUGACUGUCUUCUGUCUUGUUGUACUGUGUGUCAGUGAUAAAAUUUUAUAAUGAACCUGUGUCAUGCGACCGGACUUCGACGAUUAUACAAAACUUCACUGCAUAAUCGUCUUAGUUUGCGAAGGGUUGAGCGUGCCUUUGCGUAUGUGCAGUUUAUUUUUUAUAGGCAAAUAAACAAGACAUGUUUACACAA
This is a long non-coding RNA of Dermacentor silvarum, 4310 nucleotides long. RefSeq lists it as uncharacterized. The record is from RefSeq and is a predicted model, not a curated record. The transcript is spliced from 2 exons. NCBI's taxonomy places the organism in Eukaryota, Metazoa, Arthropoda, Arachnida, Ixodida, Ixodidae.